This 380-nucleotide ribosomal RNA is filed under the name uncultured eukaryote. Its description in RNAcentral is "partial 18S ribosomal RNA". It matches the Rfam family "Eukaryotic small subunit ribosomal RNA", at positions 592 to 976 of the family's 1831-position model. The record is from RNAcentral.
CAAUAGCGUAUAUUAAAGUUGUUGCAGUUAAAAAGCUCGUAGUUGGAUUUGUGGUGUACUUUGGCGGCCCGUCACUAUGUGAUGGAGCUUGCUGAAGUCGCCAUCCUUGGGUGGAUCCUGUGUGGCAUUAAGUUGUCGUGCAGGGGAUGCCCAUCGUUUACUGUGAGAAAAUUAGAGUGUUCAAAGCAGGCUUAUGCCGUUGAAUAUGUUAGCAUGGAAUAAUAAGAUAGGACCUUGGUACUAUUUUGUUGGUUUGCGCACCAAGGUAAUGAUUAAUAGGGACAGUUGGGGGUAUUCGUAUUUCAUUGUCAGAGGUGAAAUUCUUGGAUUUUUGAAAGACGAACUACUGCGAAAGCAUUUACCAAGGAUGUUUUCAUUAA